RNAcentral lists this ribosomal RNA (450 nucleotides) under uncultured bacterium. Its description in RNAcentral is "bacterial SSU rRNA". It matches the Rfam family "Bacterial small subunit ribosomal RNA", at positions 329 to 793 of the family's 1533-position model. The record is from RNAcentral.
CGCCAGACUCCUACGGGAGGCAGCAGUGGGGAAUAUUGGGCAAUGGAGGCAACUCUGACCCAGCAACGCCGCGUGAAUGAUGAAGGUCUUCGGAUUGUAAAGUUCUUUUCUAAGGGAAGAAGAAAGUGACGGUACCUUAGGAAUAAGCCUCGGCUAACUACGUGCCAGCAGCCGCGGUAAUACGUAGGGGGCAAGCGUUAUCCGGAUUUACUGGGUGUAAAGGGAGCGUAGACGGCAGGGCAAGUCUGGAGUGAAAGGCAGGGGCCCAACCCCUGGACUGCUCUGGAAACUGUCCGGCUGGAGUGCAGGAGAGGUAAGUGGAAUUCCUAGUGUGGCGGUGAAAUGCGUAGAUAUUAGGAGGAACACCAGUGGCGAAGGCGGCUUACUGGACUGUAACUGACGUUGAGGCUCGAAAGCGUGGGGAGCAAACAGGAUUAGAUACCCGUGUAC